CGUAUAAUUCGCGAUCUGCCCUAGACCGUAGGUGCCGGCCAUCGUGCCGGCUUAAUUUCCUGCCGAGGCGAUAAGAAGUGAAGGACGCUUUGAUCCUUCCUGCCUUGGCUUGUUGCGGGCGGGGAGGAUUUUUCUUUUGCCGA
This is a non-coding RNA of Actinobacteria bacterium 13_1_40CM_66_12, 143 nucleotides long. The record is from Rfam. NCBI's taxonomy places the organism in Bacteria, Bacillati, Actinomycetota.